UAUCCUACGGGACGCAGCAGUAGGGAAUCUUCCACAAUGGACGAAAGUCUGAUGGGGCAACGCCGCGUGAGUGAAGAAGGGUUUCGGCUCGUAAAGCUCUGUUGGUAAUGAAGAAAGAUAGAGGUAGUAACUGGCCUUUAUUUGACGGUAAUUACUUAGAAAGUCACGGCUAACUACCUUCCAGCAGCCGCGGUAAUACGUAGGGUGCAAGCGUUGUCCGGAUUUUUUGGG
Molecule: ribosomal RNA, 231 nt
Filed under: uncultured bacterium
Lineage: Bacteria
Description: partial 16S ribosomal RNA
Rfam family: Bacterial small subunit ribosomal RNA
Source: RNAcentral